Molecule: long non-coding RNA, 1367 nt
Filed under: Equus caballus (horse)
Lineage: Eukaryota; Metazoa; Chordata; Mammalia; Perissodactyla; Equidae
Description: lncRNA (ENSECAG00000036802.3)
Source: RNAcentral
CUUAACCUAGACUCAGGUUCAAGUCAGAAAGUCAAGGCAGAAUCGUCUGAGUCAGAGCCUGUUGUUAAAGCUCUAAAAAGUGCUGUUCUCUGACCUGGAGCUUGGAGGCCUGGCUAUUGUAAACCCACAGAAGAAAACUCAGAACUUACGCAGAAUUAUUGAUUGUUUUCUCCACCCAGAAGAAAUCGUUUUUCCUGGAAAGUCAGCCAUAUGGUGCCACAGAGGUGGAAGGCACCACACCCCUCUAAGGAAUGCUCCACUUCUGACCGACUCCUUUCACAUCGGCAACUGUUGCCACGGUUCUUGUCUGAGACCCCAGAGAGCUGUUCUGAAUUGUCUCUUGGAUUCAUCCGGGCACCCUUCCCUUACUGUUGGCUUCUAGUAGUCAUGGAAAUUACAAGUUGUCCUGUUUAGUGUGGCAGCUGGUAAGCAAAUAGCACCCUCCGUUUUAUGUCAUAGUUCUUGGUAUUUGGGAAUUACCAAAUUUGAAAAUUCAAUAGCAUCAUUCUCUGCAUUGUCUUCACACAAACCACUGGGGAAAGGUCCAGGAAGCCACUGACACCACAUUAGACACCUCUGAGCGAUUUGGUACAAAAGCAGCUGGAGUCUUGCUAUCUCAGCUGCUGCCUAUAGUAAAAGAGUAAUUAGAAUUUCUUCCUUAGAGAACAAAAAUUUCAGUUAAGUAUACAUUUCUUUUAAGUAUGUAUGGAAAAUAGGCUAAUAGAAAAUUAUGCCAGAGGAGUAAAACGUGUUAUGCCAAGUAUUAAUUAUAUAUGUAUUAACUAGUACAUAAGAUAAUUCUAAGUUUAGAAAGGAGAUCAAGGUUAAUUUUAUUACCAAGUGCCCUUGGCCCUACUCAUUUAAUAGUAGAAGAUACAUAAUCUAUCAAAGUAAAAAAAAAAUGGUUAAAGCACUUUAAAAUCACUUUAACAAGGUCAGAAAUGAAGUUUUCAGAUAUUCUUUCCAGGAUAAGUACAAUGUCAUGAAUUUAAUAGCAACUAAAAAUAAAUUUAGACUUUUGACACUUUUUUUUUCUGAGGGAACACAGAACCUUGAAAAUACCUUGGGGGAAAUUGCUAACCUCUCUGGAAAUUAAUGAGUUCUUACAUUAUCCCUAAAGGGUUAUGGGAUAUUUUCUAAUUCUGCAUUGCAGAUGGGAAACCAAAGAGUUUGGCCAUGGGUUCUAUUUUCAGGGGCAGACUGAAAAGGACUCUUACAAUGCUCUUCUCUUUUCAGUUUGUCCAUCAUUUGGUCUUGUCUUUUUUCUAAGACAGAGUGGGCAGAUAAUAUUUGUUCUUUGUUUAGGAGUCUUAUUUCAAAGAGAUCUCUUAUUUCACUGAAAUUCCUGGGCAUACUCUCUGGAAUAU